Molecule: non-coding RNA, 95 nt
Filed under: Aurantiochytrium limacinum
Lineage: Eukaryota; Bigyra; Thraustochytrida; Thraustochytriidae
Source: RNAcentral
GAGUGCUCCGUGAGGUUGGUUUCACCGAUGCCCUCUUGGCCCAGCAGGUGUCUGCUCUCUCUGGUGGUUGGAAGAUGCGUCUGGCUAUUGCUCGU